AGAAUUGCAAGAUUAGAUUUUCUUUUCUCCAAGUUUCCCAGAUGCUCUGGCCUGAAGCCCAGGAUAGAAGGAAACACAGGCGCCAAAAGUAUGAAUCGUACGGACCAUGGUGUCACCUAAGGAAGCUCACCGUAGAUCCUGAACCUUAUUUCCUGGAUGCUGCUGUCAUUGACCAUGACGCUGACAGAGGGCAAGGCCAGCUCAUCUUUGCAGAACCUUGGGAGCUUGACCAUGUACUCACCACUAUCCUGCAGGAAGUGUUCAACUCCUGGAAAGUUCAUCUGCUCCAAAUCUACACACUUGAGUAUUGGGAACAGGCCUCACCAUGCCUCAAAUGACUCAGAAGUCAAGAGCACCACGACACGCCUGAGAUGUUCAAUGCAGAAAACCACUUCCAGAGACAUCCGGAAGAUGUGGAAGAUGUGGCCAUUUAAGUCCGCAGGUAAUUAUGAAUAUUUCUUAAGGGAUGGAUGUUUAUAGGGCAAUUUAUCUUUUCUAGGUAGGUG
This 506-nucleotide long non-coding RNA is filed under the name Rattus norvegicus (Norway rat). RNAcentral describes it as "long non-coding RNA NONRATT033313". The record is from RNAcentral. Lineage: Eukaryota; Metazoa; Chordata; Mammalia; Rodentia; Muridae.